UGUUCAAUCUCGUAAGAGAGCAGGAAAAACUCUUGAAUUUUUGGUUCGCCUGCCAUAGUUGUACAUUACCUAAGUACUAUGCUUUUGUGCACAAAAAUUAUAAACAACAUUAAACUGCUAAAAGAUUAAAAAAUUAAGAAGGUUAACAAUGGAGUACUCAAUUUAUAUGAUCGAAAAAAAUAAGUAAAUUCAAAUGAAGCAUGAAAGCCGGGAACGAAGGAUGGUAUGAACAGACAUACCUUACAAAUGAGAAGAAGAACAAUUAACUUAAAGGCUCAGUUGCAAGCAAUGAAACUGCAGUACAUAUGGCUUGAAGCAUUAAAAGAGAUAUAAUAACAAACCAAAGAGAAGAAAAAAAGCACAAGAAAAUGUUAUAAAGCUGUAACUACAUGAAGAAAUUCCAGUAGCAGUAUAUAUAUGCCAUAUAUACUAUGGUGAUACUGGCACUAUGAUUUGGUUGAGAAACUUUCUAAGAAAGUGGUUAGAGGUGAAAACCUCUAUUGAUUUCUUCUUUGUCUGUAAACCUCAAUAAGUUGAGCAUCUAUAGUCCUCACCAGCACAUUUCAUGUCUGUUUAUAUCAUCUUAUUUGCACUUGCUUGCUUCUCAAAUUCAAUACUAUAUUUUGAUGAAUUUAACAUUUGGUUAUACAUACGUCAAAGUUUUUAGAGAUUAAAUAGCAAAGAUACAUUAUAGGCGAUUAUUUUGCAUAUCCCCUUCAUUUGAUGAUCAUAUUUUGGUGGGGGGUUUUUUCAUGAUCACUACAUUGUUGAACCAAUGUUAUAUGCAUAUGUCGCUUCAAAUAGAAAACAAUAACGUAGAGAAGAUUGAAAAUUAUGACCUAAACUAUAACAUUAAUUGAAAGACAUUGUUGUCGAAUCCUAACACCCUAGUGAUAUAAUAGGGGAAUAUAUGAUAAUAGUAGUUCAAAAUAUUUAGACCAGUAUAUCUGAACUGCGCGAAAAUCUGAGUGGCGAAGAAUAUUAGAAAAGUACCUCAAUCUCGUAAUGGCAUUUUCUGUUCGUAUUCCUUGUACGUCAACACCUAUAUUUGUUGAGCGGACAAGUUUAUUUGUCCUCGUAUUCCUUGUGCGUCCACACCUAUAUUAAUUGAGCGCACAGACUCUAGGUGCAUCAAACAUAAUUUUUUUUAAAAUACAAUUAGAUUAAUCAAAUAAACCAUGAGAAUAACUGGUAAGCAUAAUCGGAAAAAAUUCUUUGAAAAGGAUUACAUACCGAAAUUUGUUGGGUGCACCGAAGCAGUUUGUGAUUCCUGAUUUUGUUUUUCGUCGAAUAGUUCAUGAUUUGUAAAGUAAGUAUGCCGUGGGUAAAUAAUGAAUACAUUAUCAGGGAAUUAGAGAUAUUGUUUCAAAUAAAAACUAUAGAACAAAGAAGGUAGAGAGGGCGAUUGAAAAGAUGGAGAAGCACAGGGAAAUUGGAAGAUAUAGAAGGGGAGUAAUUAGGGGAAAAGGGAGUAACAAAUCGUUGCCAUACAACCGUUGUGAGAGAAUGUUGAGUAGAUGGGGAAGUACUGAUAAUUUGCAAGAGAUUACAGAACCGGUGUUCAUGUGAAGCG
This 1573-nucleotide long non-coding RNA is filed under the name Nicotiana tabacum (common tobacco). Its description in RNAcentral is "long non-coding RNA (NTAB_LNC000698)". The record is from RNAcentral. Lineage: Eukaryota; Viridiplantae; Streptophyta; Magnoliopsida; Solanales; Solanaceae.